This is a long non-coding RNA of Varanus komodoensis (Komodo dragon), 208 nucleotides long. RefSeq lists it as uncharacterized. The transcript is spliced from 3 exons. The record is from RefSeq and is a predicted model, not a curated record. Lineage: Eukaryota; Metazoa; Chordata; Lepidosauria; Squamata; Varanidae.
CAUGAAUGGGCGGAGGCGCCCUCGCGAAGGGCGAUCAAUAGCCUCGGCUAAUAGUUCGCUGGGCGCUGGAACAGGGACUUGUCAGAUACACAGGCACGACCCUACGAAAGGCUCAAGUGCAAAGAACAGAAGUUCAGCUGCCUCCAUUUCCAAUGGUGCACAAAGGAAGUAAACAGGAAGGGGGGCUACCCCAAAACUGAAUGCACAC